This 206-nucleotide long non-coding RNA is filed under the name Mytilus galloprovincialis (Mediterranean mussel). Lineage: Eukaryota; Metazoa; Mollusca; Bivalvia; Mytilida; Mytilidae. The record is from RNAcentral.
CUUGUCCUUAACUGCUCUACAGAAUUUUGUGAAACUGAGAUAAGGCGUUUUACUCAAAGGAUGUACUUUUGCACCUAUUAAUAUUUCAUUUCUGCAUGUGUAUUUUAGGGUUAACUUUGAUAUUCAAUGACUGCAUCUCAUAAAGCCCAAUCAGCAUAUAAUGCAACUAUCUAAGAAUCUAUACCAUAUAAUACCAUUGAGCACAC